RNAcentral lists this ribosomal RNA (497 nucleotides) under uncultured bacterium. RNAcentral's name for it is "partial 16S ribosomal RNA". It matches the Rfam family "Bacterial small subunit ribosomal RNA", at positions 28 to 507 of the family's 1533-position model. The record is from RNAcentral.
GAUGAACGCUGGCGGCGUGCCUAAUACAUGCAAGUCGAGCGAACAGACGAGGAGCCUGCUCCUCUGACGUUAGCGGCGGACGGGUGAGUAACACGUGGAUAACCUACCUAUAAGACUGGGAUAACUCCGGGAAACCGGAGCUAAUACCGGAUAAUAUAUUGAACCGCAUGGUUCAAUAGUGAAAGGCGGUUUUGCUGUCACUUAUAGAUGGAUCCGCGCCGCAUUAGCUAGUUGGUAAGGUAACGGCUUACCAAGGCAACGAUGCGUAGCCGACCUGAGAGGGUGAUCGGCCACACUGGAACUGAGACACGGUCCAGACUCCUACGGGAGGCAGCAGUAGGGAAUCUUCCGCAAUGGGCGAAAGCCUGACGGAGCAACGCCGCGUGAGUGAUGAAGGUCUUCGGAUCGUAAAACUCUGUUAUUAGGGAAGAACAAAUGUGUAAGUAACUAUGCACGUCUUGACGGUACCUAAUCAGAAAGCCACGGCUAACUACGUG